GACGAACGCUGGCGGCGUGCUUAACACAUGCAAGUCGAACGGUAAGGCCCUUCGGGGUACACGAGUGGCGAACGGGUGAGUAACACGUGGGUGAUCUGCCCUGCACUUCGGGAUGAGCCUGGGAAACUGGGUCUAAUACCGGAUAGGACCACUGCCUGCAUGGGUGGUGGUGGAAAGCUUUUGCGGUGUGGGAUGGGCCCGCGGCCUAUCAGCUUGUUGGUGGGGUGAUGGCCUACCAAGGCGACGACGGGUAGCCGGCCUGAGAGGGUGACCGGCCACACUGGGACUGAGAUACGGCCCAGACUCCUACGGGAGGCAGCAGUGGGGAAUAUUGCUCAAUGGGCGCAAGCCUGAUGCAGCGACGCCGCGUGAGGGAUGGCGGCCUUCGGGUUGUAAACCUCUUUCAGCACCGACGAAGCGCAAGUGACGGUAGGUGCAGAAGAAGGACCGGCCAACUACGUGCCAGCCGCCGCCGUAA
Molecule: ribosomal RNA, 478 nt
Filed under: uncultured bacterium
Lineage: Bacteria
Description: partial 16S ribosomal RNA
Rfam family: Bacterial small subunit ribosomal RNA
Source: RNAcentral